RNAcentral lists this ribosomal RNA (253 nucleotides) under uncultured bacterium. RNAcentral's name for it is "partial 16S ribosomal RNA". It matches the Rfam family "Bacterial small subunit ribosomal RNA", at positions 524 to 776 of the family's 1533-position model. The record is from RNAcentral.
UACAGAGGUCCCAAGCGUUGUUCGGAUUCACUGGGCGUAAAGGGUGCGUAGGUGGCGAGGUAAGUCGGAUGUGAAAUCUCCAAGCUCAACUUGGAAAUGGCAUUGGAAACUACCUUGCUUGAGGGUCGGAGGGGGGACUGGAAUUCUCGGUGUAGCAGUGAAAUGCGUAGAUAUCGAGAGGAACACCAGUGGCGAAGGCGGGUCCCUGGACGACUCCUGACACUGAGGCACGAAAGCUAGGGGAGUAAACAGG